UAAAUAAAAAUAAUCGAUUUUUUUUUCUCGAAUAUAAAGGAGCUAAAAAAAUAUAGUUUUUUUGUGGAAUAAAAAUAUAAAAUAUUUUUUUUGUAAUAAAAUGUUAUUCGUCUUUAUUUUUAUCUAGUUUAUUAAGAAAUGAAUUUAAUUCAGCUUGUAAAAUUAUGAUUUUUAUUAAAAAAUUUUUAAAUUUUUAAAAGUAAAAAUAUUAGGGAUAAGCUUAAUAUUUUAUUAUUAUAAUAUAAUUUUAAUUGAUAACUCUUAAGAUUGGAAGUGUCUAUAGAUAAAAUAGUGUUAUUACAUAUUAUUAGUAAAUAAAAUUUAUUAUUUUUUAGUUUUUAUAUUAAUAUAUUAAAUAAAACUUUCUUGUUUAAGAAAUAAUGAUUAAAUUAGUAUAAAAUUUAUGUUAAAAUUUUUAAUAGAUCAAGUUUAAAUUAAGGAAUUCGGCAAUUUAUUUUCUGCCUGUUUAUUAAAAACAUGUCCUUUUGAUUUUAUUUAAGGUCUAACCUGCCCAAUGAUUAUUUUAAUGGCUGCAAUAUUAAAUUGUGCGAAGGUAGCAUAAUAAUUAGUUUCUUAAUUAGAAGCUGGAAUGAAUGGUUUGACAAGAAAAUUACUGUCUCUAUUUAAUUUUUUUUAGAAUUUAACUUUUUAGUAAAAAGGCUAAAAUAGUUUUAAAAGACGAGAAGACCCUAUAGAAUUUUAUAAACGUUUCUAUUUAAUAAUUUUAAAAUUUUUACAAAAAUUAGGAAAAUUUAUUUUGUUGGGGUGAUAAGAAAAUUUAAUAAACUUUUCCUUUUUAUGUUCAUUGAUUUAUGAAUAUAUGAUCCAAUUAUGUUGAUUAAAAGAAUAAAUUACCUUAGGGAUAACAGCGUUAUUAUUAUUUAGAGUACUUAUCGAAAUAAUAGUUUGCGACCUCGAUGUUGGAUUAAAAUAUAUUAUUAAUGCAGAAGUUAAUAUACUAGGUCUGUUCGACCUUUAAAAUUUU
RNAcentral lists this ribosomal RNA (985 nucleotides) under Platyceropsis keeni. RNAcentral describes it as "partial 16S ribosomal RNA". Lineage: Eukaryota; Metazoa; Arthropoda; Insecta; Coleoptera; Lucanidae. The record is from RNAcentral.